GCCAGGCCGCUUUGCAAAGCUCGCCUGUUUCAAACCCCGUCAGGUCCGGGAGGAAGCAGCGGUAGAAACGGGUGAAUUUGUGCGAAGUGGCCUUUUUUG
RNAcentral lists this signal recognition particle RNA (99 nucleotides) under Deltaproteobacteria bacterium. RNAcentral's name for it is "signal recognition particle sRNA small type". It matches the Rfam family "Bacterial small signal recognition particle RNA". From Rfam's summary of the family: The signal recognition particle (SRP) is a universally conserved ribonucleoprotein involved in the co-translational targeting of proteins to membranes. Archaeal SRP consists of a 7S RNA and homologues of the eukaryotic SRP19 and SRP54 proteins. Lineage: Bacteria; Pseudomonadati; Myxococcota; Myxococcia. The record is from RNAcentral.